RNAcentral lists this ribosomal RNA (530 nucleotides) under unidentified nematode Sourhope farm. RNAcentral's name for it is "SSU rRNA". It matches the Rfam family "Eukaryotic small subunit ribosomal RNA", at positions 74 to 606 of the family's 1831-position model. The record is from RNAcentral. Lineage: Eukaryota; Metazoa; Nematoda.
CCUGAUGGUAAAGCCGCGAAUGGCUCAUUACAACAGCCACAGUUUAUUGGGUCUCCAUUUACUUGGAUAACUGAGCUAAUUGUUGAGCUAAUACACGCACCAAAGCUUCGACCUCACGGGAGGAGCGCAUUUAUUAGAACAAAACCAAUCGGACUUCGGUCCGUCCAUUGGUGAAUCUAAAUAACUUAGCCGAUCGCAUGGUCUCGCACCGGCGACUCACCUUUCAAAUGUCUGCCUUAUCACCUUUCGAUGGUAGUUUAUACGCCUACCAUGGGUUUUACGGGUAACGGAGAAUAAGGGUUCGACUCCGGAGAGGGAGCCUGAGAAACGGCUACCACAUCCAAGGAAGGCAGCAGGCACGCAAAUUACCCACUCCCGGCACGGGGAGGUAGUGACGAAAAAUAACGAGGCGGUUCUCUAUGAGGCCCGCCAUCGGAAUGGGUACAAUCUAAAUCCUUUAACGAGGAACUAUUGGAGGGCAAGUCUGGUGCCAGCAGCCGCGGUAAUUCCAGCUCCAAUAGCGUAUAUUA